UGAGCCUUUCCCCCUGAUUGUAACUGUCUUUCUGGCUCUUUCCUUAACUGCCAUAGUAUUGCACAGCAACUACACACAGGCUGGGCACCAGACAGACCUGCACUGAACCUAGUUUUAUCUUCCUGACUGCAUGAUUUUUGGGUGGGAAAGAAGAAGGGGCAGGAGCAGGACCGGAUGUAUAUGCCAGGCGUUCAGAGACAACGCACAUGGAGCCAGUUUUGGAGGGGAGCCAGGUUACCAUUCACUGCAACUCUACUAUGAGUUGGCACUUUCUCUAGACCCAGUGACAAGAGCCCCUCACUUUGGGAGUGAAGAGCUAUACCAGGAUCCUGCAUCCACAACCCACCUCUCCGCUACUCACAGCAUAUCCCAUCCCUUCCACUGAGUCUCCCUCCUUUUGAAACAGGCAGUAGCAUCUGAGGAGUCCCAAACCUAGGACUACCCUGUUUUUAAUAACCCUGGUCUGAGGGAGAAAGAGAAACAUUCCAAUAGAAGAUAAUGCAAGAAGUAAACAAAAAUUUCCUCUUUCUGUGUCUAAGUCAGAAAGGUUACUCAAAGAAGAAUAUACAAGGAUGCAUCUAUAUGACAGAGUGACGACUGGCUCCCUUGUUUAUGAGAGAACAUGUCAACAGUACUGUACAUAAGCAACAGCAUUUUGUGUGAAUAUGCUAACUUGUGUUGUUUAUUGUUUUGACUUUUGCCCUGGCUUCCCCAACUCUGGGCAAGUAUUGUGAUAACUUGCCUCCAUAUAUUUACAGCAUUUUAUAGGGUGAUUUGCAAACAGUUCAUGCUUAAUCAAUGUUUGAUGCUGACAAUAGAAUGCAAGUUUGCAAUUUUUAUUUAUUUUCAAAAUCAAUGUAUCAUAAUGGAAGUUACUGAUUUAUUCCUCAAUCUUUGCUGCAUUUCCACAUGUAAUCCCUUAAGCCUUUUAGGUAAAUCCUCGGUAUUAAUGGGAAUAUGAUUUUAAUCUGGAUUACCAUGCAGCAAUUAGAUUUGGCACAUUGUUUUUCAUAAAAUUGGAGACAGAGCUAGAAGAGACUCAAGUUUUGAUUCUCAAGCCGACACUGUCCUAGAUAAAUAAUUGCUUAUUUUACUUAAAAUACUACUAUUUACUAAAAUUACAGUUAUUUUUACAAUCUAUAUGGUGAAUUCUAUGUGAAUCUGUAUUAUGGUUAAGUCUAUAAAUAGAAAAUAAGACACAACUAUAUUUUAAGUAUUUUUUUUUUUAAGCAGUACAGAUAGUGCUUUGACAUUCUGGGUUAGUUUGCUAGGGCGGCUGUAACAAAGUGCCACAAGCUGGCUUAAACAAUAGAAAUUCAUUGUCUUUCAGUUCUGGAGGCUGGAAGUCUGAGGUCAAGGUGUUGGCAGGGCUGCUUCCUGCUGAGGCUGCGAGAGAACCUCUGCUCUAGGCCUCUCACCUAGUUGCUGGUGGUUUGCUGGCAAUUUUUUGUGUUCUUUGGGCACCACAUCUCUGCCUUCUUCUACACAUGGCUUUCUCCUGUGUGCAUGUCUAUGUCCAAGUCCCCCCCCUCCCCCCCCCCCCAACACACACCUUUUAAAAAUAUUUUUAUUGAUUUCAGAGAGGAAGGGAAAGGGUGAGAGAGAUAAAAACAUCAAUGAUGAGAGAGAAUCAUCACCCUCCACUUGAAUCUUUAUUCAAUAAUCUUUUCCUGGAGCCCACUAUGAUUUUCAUAUUCUGUUCCCUUUACUGGAAUACUCUUAUCUCCAUUAUCCCUUAAAAUGGCUAACUCCUGCCCUCCUAUUUAUGUAACUUAGCUGUGUUUCAGUUUCCCCAUUUGUAAAACAGGGGUAAUAAUUAUACCUACACCAUGGGUGUCAGAAGAACUAAAUGAAAUAAAGUAAGUUUAGGUGCUUAGGACAUCAACUGAACCAUAGAAGGUAUUCAAUAAAUAUUAGCUAUUACUAGUAUUA
Molecule: long non-coding RNA, 1932 nt
Organism: Myotis daubentonii (Daubenton's bat)
Lineage: Eukaryota; Metazoa; Chordata; Mammalia; Chiroptera; Vespertilionidae
Source: RefSeq, a predicted model, not a curated record